Molecule: ribosomal RNA, 2902 nt
Filed under: Klebsiella pneumoniae
Lineage: Bacteria; Pseudomonadati; Pseudomonadota; Gammaproteobacteria; Enterobacterales; Enterobacteriaceae
Also listed under: 1 other name
Description: 23S ribosomal RNA
Rfam family: Bacterial large subunit ribosomal RNA
Source: RNAcentral
GGUUAAGCGACUAAGCGUACACGGUGGAUGCCCUGGCAGUCAGAGGCGAUGAAGGACGUGCUAAUCUGCGAAAAGCGUCGGUAAGGUGAUAUGAACCGUUAUAACCGGCGAUGUCCGAAUGGGGAAACCCAGUGCAAUUCGUUGCACUAUCGUUAACUGAAUACAUAGGUUAACGAGGCGAACCGGGGGAACUGAAACAUCUAAGUACCCCGAGGAAAAGAAAUCAACCGAGAUUCCCCCAGUAGCGGCGAGCGAACGGGGAGCAGCCCAGAGUCUGAAUCAGCUUGUGUGUUAGUGGAACGGUCUGGAAAGUCCGACGGUACAGGGUGAUAGUCCCGUACACCAAAAUGCACAGGCUGUGAACUCGAAGAGUAGGGCGGGACACGUGGUAUCCUGUCUGAAUAUGGGGGGACCAUCCUCCAAGGCUAAAUACUCCUGACUGACCGAUAGUGAACCAGUACCGUGAGGGAAAGGCGAAAAGAACCCCGGCGAGGGGAGUGAAAAAGAACCUGAAACCGUGUACGUACAAGCAGUGGGAGCACCUUCGGGUGUGACUGCGUACCUUUUGUAUAAUGGGUCAGCGACUUAUAUUCUGUAGCAAGGUUAACCGUAUAGGGGAGCCGCAGGGAAACCGAGUCUUAACUGGGCGUUAAGUUGCAGGGUAUAGACCCGAAACCCGGUGAUCUAGCCAUGGGCAGGUUGAAGGUUGGGUAACACUAACUGGAGGACCGAACCGACUAAUGUUGAAAAAUUAGCGGAUGACUUGUGGCUGGGGGUGAAAGGCCAAUCAAACCGGGAGAUAGCUGGUUCUCCCCGAAAGCUAUUUAGGUAGCGCCUCGUGAACUCAUCUUCGGGGGUAGAGCACUGUUUCGGCUAGGGGGUCAUCCCGACUUACCAACCCGAUGCAAACUACGAAUACCGAAGAAUGUUAUCACGGGAGACACACGGCGGGUGCUAACGUCCGUCGUGAAGAGGGAAACAACCCAGACCGCCAGCUAAGGUCCCAAAGUCAUGGUUAAGUGGGAAACGAUGUGGGAAGGCACAGACAGCCAGGAUGUUGGCUUAGAAGCAGCCAUCAUUUAAAGAAAGCGUAAUAGCUCACUGGUCGAGUCGGCCUGCGCGGAAGAUGUAACGGGGCUAAACCAUGCACCGAAGCUGCGGCAGCGACACUAUGUGUUGUUGGGUAGGGGAGCGUUCUGUAAGCCUGCGAAGGUGUGCUGUGAGGCAUGCUGGAGGUAUCAGAAGUGCGAAUGCUGACAUAAGUAACGAUAAAGCGGGUGAAAAGCCCGCUCGCCGGAAGACCAAGGGUUCCUGUCCAACGUUAAUCGGGGCAGGGUGAGUCGACCCCUAAGGCGAGGCCGAAAGGCGUAGUCGAUGGGAAACAGGUUAAUAUUCCUGUACUUGGUGUUACUGCGAAGGGGGGACGGAGAAGGCUAUGUUAGCCGGGCGACGGUUGUCCCGGUUUAAGCAUGUAGGCUGGUUGUCCAGGCAAAUCCGGAUAAUCAAGGCUGAGGUGUGAUGACGAGGCACUACGGUGCUGAAGUAACAAAUGCCCUGCUUCCAGGAAAAGCCUCUAAGCAUCAGGUAACAUCAAAUCGUACCCCAAACCGACACAGGUGGUCAGGUAGAGAAUACCAAGGCGCUUGAGAGAACUCGGGUGAAGGAACUAGGCAAAAUGGUGCCGUAACUUCGGGAGAAGGCACGCUGGUGUGUAGGUGAAGUCCCUGCGGAUGGAGCUGAGACCAGUCGAAGAUACCAGCUGGCUGCAACUGUUUAUUAAAAACACAGCACUGUGCAAACACGAAAGUGGACGUAUACGGUGUGACGCCUGCCCGGUGCCGGAAGGUUAAUUGAUGGGGUUAUCCGUAAGGAGAAGCUCUUGAUCGAAGCCCCGGUAAACGGCGGCCGUAACUAUAACGGUCCUAAGGUAGCGAAAUUCCUUGUCGGGUAAGUUCCGACCUGCACGAAUGGCGUAAUGAUGGCCAGGCUGUCUCCACCCGAGACUCAGUGAAAUUGAACUCGCUGUGAAGAUGCAGUGUACCCGCGGCAAGACGGAAAGACCCCGUGAACCUUUACUAUAGCUUGACACUGAACAUUGAGCCUUGAUGUGUAGGAUAGGUGGGAGGCUUUGAAGCGUGGACGCCAGUCUGCGUGGAGCCAACCUUGAAAUACCACCCUUUAAUGUUUGAUGUUCUAACGUUGGCCCCUUACCGGGGUUGCGGACAGUGUCUGGUGGGUAGUUUGACUGGGGCGGUCUCCUCCCAAAGCGUAACGGAGGAGCACGAAGGUUAGCUAAUCCUGGUCGGACAUCAGGAGGUUAGUGCAAUGGCAUAAGCUAGCUUGACUGCGAGCGUGACGGCGCGAGCAGGUGCGAAAGCAGGUCAUAGUGAUCCGGUGGUUCUGAAUGGAAGGGCCAUCGCUCAACGGAUAAAAGGUACUCCGGGGAUAACAGGCUGAUACCGCCCAAGAGUUCAUAUCGACGGCGGUGUUUGGCACCUCGAUGUCGGCUCAUCACAUCCUGGGGCUGAAGUAGGUCCCAAGGGUAUGGCUGUUCGCCAUUUAAAGUGGUACGCGAGCUGGGUUUAGAACGUCGUGAGACAGUUCGGUCCCUAUCUGCCGUGGGCGCUGGAGAAUUGAGGGGGGCUGCUCCUAGUACGAGAGGACCGGAGUGGACGCAUCACUGGUGUUCGGGUUGUCAUGCCAAUGGCACUGCCCGGUAGCUAAAUGCGGAAGAGAUAAGUGCUGAAAGCAUCUAAGCACGAAACUUGCCCCGAGAUGAGUUCUCCCUGAGACUUUAAGUCUCCUGAAGGAACGUUGAAGACGACGACGUUGAUAGGCCGGGUGUGUAAGCGCAGCGAUGCGUUGAGCUAACCGGUACUAAUGAACCGUGAGGCUUAACCUU